This 253-nucleotide ribosomal RNA is filed under the name uncultured bacterium. RNAcentral describes it as "partial 16S ribosomal RNA". It matches the Rfam family "Bacterial small subunit ribosomal RNA", at positions 524 to 776 of the family's 1533-position model. The record is from RNAcentral.
UACGUAGGGUGCGAGCGUUACUCGGAAUUACUGGGCGUAAAGCGUGCGCAGGCGGUUUUGUAAGCCAGAUGUGAAAUCCCCGGGCUUAACCUGGGAAUGGCAUUUGGGACUGCAAGGCUUGAGUGCGGCAGAGGAGACUGGAAUUCCUGGUGUAGCAGUGAAAUGCGUAGAUAUCAGGAGGAAUACCGAUGGCGAAGGCAGGUCUCUGGGCUGACACUGACGCUCAUGCACGAAAGCGUGGGGAGCAAACAGG